GGACACUUAGGAUCACCCCAUGGAACGGUCAGGAGCAGCAUUCCCAAGAAUAAAGGUUAGAAGUCACAAUCCCAAAAGGGACCUGAAACCCUGCAAGCAGCAAGUGGAAGAGAUCUGAAAAGUGGGGCAAGAGCCGAGUAAAAACAGGCCGCAAAGAAGAUGAAUAUGCCAACGCUUUUCUGGUGCCUUCUGGCUGGGAUUUCAUGGGAAGUGAUGGGGGUCUCUUAAUGUAUGUGACAGGUAGGAUUUGCUUUUCUUUCUACCCGUCGACAAUGGGAUAAUGCUUAAGCAGAGAUGUGAGUGACACUGGAAAUAUAAGGGCCAUGUAAUUCUGUAGGCAUUUGUUUAUUCUUUCUCAGCCAAGUCAGCUCUUAGCCAAAUUCUCUUGCUCAAGAACCUGGAUUUAUACCUGGUUUAUACCUGGUAUUUCCUUCCCAGGGAUGAUUUUCAUUGAGAAUGUAAUGUGUUUCCUAAAAAGAAUUCGAUUGUAUAUUGGUUGUACUUAAAUGUAGAACAGCUGUCUUCUGUUUAGAUUUCCACACAUAAAUCUUUAUCUUUAGUGCAUGUGUGUGUUUGUGUGUGUGUGUGAGAGAGAGAGAGAGAGAAUAUGAAUGAGAGAUGAAAAUGUAGGUACUGACCUAAGCUAGAAAGACCUGGGUUUCCAGUUCUUGCCCCACCUCUUGUUAGAUGUGGGUAUUUGUGUGGUAGAGAUCAGCCAGCUGUUCACCAAAACCUGCUUCUGCUUCCUCCUGGCACACAGAUGAUAUUUUUGAGCCUCCUGUGCAGUUACAUAUUGCCAUGUGAUUAAACUUUGACCCACAGAAUGUACAUGGAAGUGAUGUGUACUUCCAUCCCUCACCCACAGAAACUUUUCUCUAUCCUCCAUGUUCUUUCUCCUUGUUGACUGUUAAUAGCCAGAGAAAGACUUUGGACGUUGUGGGUUAAGAUGAGAGCCACUGACAGGCUGGGUCCCUGAAGACACAGCCUCGCAACUCCACCCCACCACAGACUAGUUUUGACAUGAAUAAGAAAGGAACUACCAGUGUGUUAAGCCCCUGUGACUGUGGGUGUCUGUUAUAGCAGCUCACACCGCUAAAACAUGAGGUCUACCCUCUUCAGUUUCUAUAGCUGAAAGGUAGAAUUUGCUUUUUGAAAAGCUCCACUUAAUCCCCUUGAGAUCAAAAUGUGAUGUGUGUAAAAAUACUUUCUUUAUUCUGUGUUCUUCCCCAUGCAUUUUUACUCAGUUGCAGUAAUGGUUUAAAUAUAAUUUUAUAUUUAGCUCUUUUUCACUUAACACACCACAAGCAUUUUUCCACAUCGCCACAGUCUUCCUAAUUAUAAAUGUUAAUGACUGCUUAAUAUUCCAUCGAGCUGAUGUCCCAUAAUUGUCUAAAACGAGUGUGAGAUGCUGCUGUUAUACCCUGCUUUGAGAAAAUCCAACUUAUCAAAACCGUUAAAUCAGGGGGGUAGCUACUAAAGUGAAAGAAAUUUUUACUCAUCAAAAGAAUUCUCUGCAAGGGACUUUUAAAUACCGAGUUCCCCUUGUGUUUCUUUAAGUAUAAUUUAAAUUACAAAAAUGUAAUACACCCUCAGCCACCUACUAUGCAAAGCAAGAUACUUGUAUUUAAUAUAUACAAAUUUUGACAUGUGCAUUCAGUAGCUGCUGGUUGCAGAGAAUCCCAGCUUCCCUAAAGCAGACCUGAUCCAGGUGACCUUUCCUGAGUGUUGGACCUCCUCCACUUGCCAUGGUCUAACCAGGCUCUGAAGACCAUGGUGGGGGUGGGGUGAGAGGUUGCAUUCAUGGGCGCUCACACUUAUAUUGCAUCCAUUGUUUUUGCACAUGCCCACAUUUUAAAAAUCGUGUCUUAACUGCAAAAACAAUAUAACAGCAAUAAUAGAAUAAGAGAAAUGGAAAAAAUCACUCAGAAUUUUUUCACAGUGACAGUAGAUGUGCUGCUUCAAUAUACUUUGUUUACCUUGCCCAUAUGCACACAUAAUUUGCCUAGCUGUUUUCAUCUGUGUUCAGUUUGUUUCCUCCUUCCAUCAUGUAACCCUAUACAUUGUCACAUUUUUUCAUAGUCUCAAUAUUAGUACAAAACUCCUGUACUAGCUCAACUCUCACCAUUGGAGUAGUCACUAUAACAACUUGCAGAAACUUUUAACACAGCAUUCGCCAUCUUGAUCAAAAUUGCAACAUGGGUUUUUAUGUGUGUACUGGCAAAAAUUUAGGUUUUGUAUGGAUUCAGAUCAGAGGAUCAGAGCAUGUUCAACUGUAUCCCGGCUGAGAUCACACUGCAUGUCAUUUAAACGGGUGUGUUAUCACUAAUGUCCAAUCCAUCUCAUGUUAUUGUCUUCCAAGAGAGGUCCCUUAGCAUGUAGUUACAUUGUUUAUGUACAUUACCAUACAUGUUUAAUAUGGCAUAGAAGGAAAACAUAAGUUGUAUCCACUACUAUACAGUCUCAUGUACUGUAACAAAUACACCCAUGAGUGCUCAUUCAUUGUUAAAUAAUUAUAAUCAGUGUUUUAAAUCUUUUACAUUAUGUACAAAAUACUUGUGGCAUUGACCUCAGGCUCACAACAACCUGGUUCCCCUCAUAGAAAGCACACUGCCAGACUUCCCUGGUGGUGCAGUGGUUAGGAAUCCGCCUGCCAAUGCAAGGGA
Molecule: long non-coding RNA, 2663 nt
Organism: Aethalodelphis obliquidens (Pacific white-sided dolphin)
Lineage: Eukaryota; Metazoa; Chordata; Mammalia; Artiodactyla; Delphinidae
Exons: 3
Source: RefSeq, a predicted model, not a curated record